CCAAUAGCGUAUAUUAAAGUUGUUGCAGUUAAAAAGCUCGUAGUUGAACUUCGGGGUUCACCCAUUGGUCAGGCUUAAUUGUCUGCACUGGUGAGAUGAAUCUCUACCUUCUGAGGAACUUUCAUGUCAUUAAUUUGGUGUGAUUGGAAAUCAGGACUGUUACUUUGAAAAAAUUAGAGUGUUUAAAGCAGGCUAACGUCUGAAUACAUUAGCAUGGAAUAAUGAAAUAGGACGGACUGAUUCUAUUUCGUUGGUUUCUAGGAUCACCGUAAUGAUUAAUAGGGAUAGUUGGGGGCAUUAGUAUUCAAUUGUCAGAGGUGAAAUUCUUGGAUUUAUUGAAGACUAACUACUGCGAAAGCAUUUGCCAAGGAUGUUUUCAUUAAUCAAGAACGAAAGUUAGGGGAUCGAAGACGAUCAGAUACCGUCGUAGUCUUAACCAUAAACUAUGCCGACUAGGGAUCGGACGAAGUUAAUUUUAUAAUGACGCGUUCGGCACCUUACG
RNAcentral lists this unclassified non-coding RNA (502 nucleotides) under uncultured Diversispora. RNAcentral's name for it is "SSU rRNA". It matches the Rfam family "Eukaryotic small subunit ribosomal RNA", at positions 591 to 1092 of the family's 1831-position model. Lineage: Eukaryota; Fungi; Glomeromycota; Glomeromycetes; Diversisporales; Diversisporaceae. The record is from RNAcentral.